UUUGCUAUCUUCCAUUUUGAUGUACUGAUGAAUGUUUCUGCAGAAUCUGUUAAUGGAGGACAAGAAUUGUAUUGAUUCGCAAUUGUGGCAAGCAUGUGCUGGUACUACAGUAAAAAUACCUGCAGUUAAUUCGAUAGUGUUGUAUUUUCCUCAAGGACACGCAGAACAUGCCGGUGUAAAUGUGGAAUUUAGGAGUGACAUUCAGAUCCCAUCCUACAUUCCUUGUAGAGUUUCGAGUAUUAAACACAUGGCAGAACAUGAAACUGAUGAAGUUUUUGCGAAAAUUAGAUUGACUCCUGUUAGUCUUAAUGAAUUUUUCGAAACGGCUGAUGAAGGAAUGGUGCCAGAUAAACCUCUUUCGUUUGCUAAGACAUUGACUCAAUCAGAUGCUAAUAACGGUGGAGGUUUUUCUGUUCCGAAAUAUUGUGCAGAUACGAUUUUUCCUACCUUGGAUUACACUCUGAAUCCUCCUGUUCAGACACUCUCAGCAACGGAUAUUCACGGGAAGUUAUGGCAAUUCAGACAUAUUUUUCGAGGCACACCAGAACGUCAUCUUUUAACAACCGGUUGGAGUACUUUUGUGAAUGAAAAAAAGCUUGUUGCAGGUGAUUCCAUUGUCUUUCUAAGGGAUGAAAAUGACGAAAUUUCUGUAGGAAUUCGAAGGAUUAAAAAAAAGAGUGUUACAAUUGAACCACCCGAGACUUCUCCUUGGUGGUUUCCAUCUGUUGGUGGUAAUCUUAAAGCUAUACCACGCGGAGGGUUUUCAGCUUUUCUCAGAGAUGAUCAGAAUACAAACUCGAGUUGGAAUUUGAUAAACAGGGGAAAUGUUAAAGCAGAAUCAGUUAUUGAAGCUACGAAUCUUGCAACUAAUAGACAACCAUUUGAGGUUAUCUUCUAUCCGCGCAGUAGCACUCCAGAGUUCUUUGUCAAGGCAUCACGUGUGAAGGCAGCGUUACAAAUCCCUUGGUGCUCAGGAAUGAGGUUCAAAAUGCCAUUUGAAACUGAAGACUUAGUGAUAAGCUGGUUCAUGGGAACUAUAUCGUCUGUUCAAGCCAUCGAUCCAAGUCGAUGGCCAGAUUCACCUUGGAGGAUGCUUCAGGUGACAUGGGACGAGCCAAAUUUGCUUAAUAAUGUGAUGUGUGUCAACCCAUGGCUCGUGGAACCAGUCUCAAACAUGCCCACCAUCCAGUUUAAUCCCUAUACACCCCCACUAAAGAAACUUCGAUUAUCUCACCAUUCUGAUUUUCCAUUAAAUGGUCAUCUUCCUAUGUCUGGUUUUCCCGAUAACCAUCUAGAUCCUCAUCUUCCUAUGUCAAGUUUUCCCAACCAUCAUCUUCUUAGGCCCAACAACACCCCUGCUGGCAUGCAGGGAGCCAGGCAUGCUCCAUAUAAUCUAUCAUUACCGGAUAUCCACACCAAUAAAUUGCACUCGAGUCUAUCUCCUGUCGGUUUUCCAUCACUUUAUCAUGUUGUUGCGAUUCCUAGCGCCUCCAAUAAUAAUACCAUGAUUCCCAAGCCAAGUAAUAAAAAUGACGAUGUAUCUUCUUUGCUAACCCUGGGAAGUUCAACCCAAAAUAGGCAGAAAUUUGACUCUGAAAAAACUACACAAUUCUUACUCUUUGGUCAACUCAUAGUUAUUGAACAACAAACCUCUCAAAGCAAUUCAAGAAAUAGUGUUUCUCCCGUUGUUGAUGUAACAAAUAGUUUUUCUGAUGGGAAUGAAUAUAAAAAAGAGAAUACCUCUGAUUCCUCAGAUACUUCAUUUGAUCACAAUAGUGUACCACAUUGCUUACCAUCUGAAUCAUUUCAAUCGGAGAAAAAUGUGGAGAUUGGACACUGUAAAGUUUUCAUAGAAUCUGAAGAUAGAGGACAAACAAAACAACUUAGUGAUGAAGAAUCAUUUAGGUAUGUGUUUAUCUUUCGUAAGUGAUAUUUUAUAAUUCAGCUUCAUAUAAACUUAAUUGAAUAUUCUUUGUUGCGAAUAGCUAUCAUUGAUAGAAUCAUUUUUUUUAUGUAUCCAAAUUUGUUUUGUAGGGAAUUCACGAAAGCGGCACGAAGAUUAACAAUUCUAACGGAUGGAAGCAGUAAUAACAUAAGAGCUAGGGAGGGAGUAUAG
Molecule: RNA transcript, 2116 nt
Organism: Solanum stenotomum
Lineage: Eukaryota; Viridiplantae; Streptophyta; Magnoliopsida; Solanales; Solanaceae
Gene name: auxin response factor 18-like
Exons: 2
Source: RefSeq, a predicted model, not a curated record